UAAGGGAUAUUGGUCAAUGGGGCGGGAGCCUGAACCAGCCAUGCCGCGUGAGGGAAUGAGGCCCUACGGGUCGUAAACCUCUUUUGCCGGGGGAUAACGGGCGCCACGCGUGGCGCCGUGAAGGUACCCGGAGAAUAAGCAUCGGCUAACUCCGUGCCAGCAGCCGCGGUAAUACGGAGGAUGCGAGCGUUAUCCGGAUUUAUUGGGUUUAAAGGGUGCGUAGGCGGAUGGGUAAGUCAGCGGUGAAAUGUCCCGGCUCAACCGGGGAACUGCCAUUGAUACUGCCUGUCUUGAAUGCGGAUGCCGUGGGAGGAAUGUGUAGUGUAGCGGUGAAAUGCAUAGAUAUUACACAGAACACCGAUUGCGAAGGCAUCUCACGAAUCCGUUAUUGACGCUGAGGCACGAAAGCGUGGGGAUCAAACAGGAUUAGAUACCCUGGUAGU
RNAcentral lists this ribosomal RNA (443 nucleotides) under uncultured Meniscus sp. Its description in RNAcentral is "bacterial SSU rRNA". It matches the Rfam family "Bacterial small subunit ribosomal RNA", at positions 355 to 794 of the family's 1533-position model. The record is from RNAcentral. Lineage: Bacteria; Pseudomonadati; Bacteroidota; Bacteroidia; Marinilabiliales; Prolixibacteraceae.